This 443-nucleotide ribosomal RNA is filed under the name uncultured bacterium. Its description in RNAcentral is "partial 16S ribosomal RNA". It matches the Rfam family "Bacterial small subunit ribosomal RNA", at positions 338 to 795 of the family's 1533-position model. The record is from RNAcentral.
CCUACGGGAGGCAGCAGUGGGGAAUAUUGGGCAAUGGAGGAAACUCUGACCCAGCAACGCCGCGUGAAUGAUGAAGGUCUUCGGAUUGUAAAGUUCUUUUCUAAGGGAAGAAGGAAGUGACGGUACCUAAGGAAUAAGCCUCGGCUAACUACGGGCCAGCAGCCGCGGUAAUACGUAGGAGGAAAGCGGUAUCCGGAAUGACUGGGCGUAAAGGGUGCGUAGGUGGUUUGAUAAGUGGGUAGAGGAACUCCGAGGCUCAACCUCGGCACUACUACCAAAACUGUCGGACUUGAGUGCAGGAGGGGCAACUAGAAUUCCUGGUGUAGCGGUGAAAUGCGUAGAGAUUAGGAGGAACACUAGUGGCGAAGGCGGCUUGCUGGGCUUUUACUGACGCUGAGGCUCGAAAGCGUGGGGAGCAAACAGGAUUAGAUACCCCUGUAGUC